UGCAGGGAGAAAACACAGCUACAAACGUAUAUUAGAGUAGAAGUUACUGUAUUUUAGCGCAAGUGUAUUAAUUAAGAUGUCAGAGGGAGUCUAUGAAAACUCAGAUGGAUUUGAAGACAACAAACCUAAUGCAAUAAAGAACACAGACAUUGAUGGCCAUUUAUAUGGCAACGUAACAGCCUUCAAACCCAGUCCAAGAGAUGGAGUUGUUGCUUCAGAGCCUGAUAGCUCAGGAAAGAGACCCUUCCUAGUUGUUGCAGUGUGUCUGGGGCUGCUGUGUGUUCUACUGGCUGGGAUCAUAGGCCUGUCUGUCUACU
This is a long non-coding RNA of Salvelinus sp. IW2-2015, 317 nucleotides long. RefSeq lists it as uncharacterized. The transcript has 2 exons. The record is from RefSeq and is a predicted model, not a curated record. NCBI's taxonomy places the organism in Eukaryota, Metazoa, Chordata, Actinopteri, Salmoniformes, Salmonidae.